Molecule: long non-coding RNA, 637 nt
Organism: Helianthus annuus (common sunflower)
Lineage: Eukaryota; Viridiplantae; Streptophyta; Magnoliopsida; Asterales; Asteraceae
Exons: 3
Source: RefSeq, a predicted model, not a curated record
UGUAUGUUCUAUUGAUCAUUAUGCUAGUUGUAUGUUUCUUCAACAUGCAUUAUAGAUUUGCAACUUUUUGCUGAUAUGGUGCCUAAAACAGUCAAUAAUUUUCGAGCACUCUGCACAGGUGUGUGUUGACUCUUAAAAAGACGUACAUCUACGUUGUUGUUACCAUAUUAUAGGUGUAGGGGUAAAGGGGAAGAGCACCACUGGAACACCAUUGCGUUACAAAGGAGUUAAAUUCCAUCGUAUAACAAAAGGCGCAUGGCUGGUUGCUUAUGUUUUGAAUGAGACAUGAGGAGAGAAUGUGGCUAGCUUCAAGUCACCACCAGAUAUUUGCUUUUAGUUGGGGUUGUACAACCUCUCACGACAUCCUCACUUCACUAACCACUUGAUUGUCUGAUGUGUAUCAUGUUCCCGCCUCAACGCGCGGAUUUCCUACUAGUUUUCCAUUAAACCAUGUCUAUUAUUGAUUUAUUUUAAAUUUUUAACAUAAAGACAUUAGACUUGACUUCCCUUUGAUUACUAUUUCUUAUUUUCCGUUAAACCAUGUCUAUUAUUGAUUUAUUUUAAUAUGUUCAUUACGCAUUAUGUAUGAAUCUUAUGAAACUUAAGUAUAAAGAAAAAACCCCUUUGAGUUUAGAAA